CCUACGGGAGGCUGCAGUGAGGAAUAUUGGUCAAUGGGCGUAAGCCUGAACCAGCCACGCCGCGUGCGGGAUGACGGUUCUACGCGUCGUAAACUUCUUUUGUACCGGAAUAAACUGCCUUACGUGUCCGGUUUUGUAUGUACCUUAUGAAUAAGGAUCGGCUAACUCCGUGCCAGCAGCCUCGGUAAUACGGAGGAUACGAGCGUUAUCCGGAUUCAUUGGGUUUAAAGGUUGCGUAGGUGGGUUUUUAAGUCAGCGGUGAAAGUCCGAGUCUAAACAAGGGAUGUGCCGCUAAUACUGGGGGACUAGAGGAGGUAUGAGGCAGGGGGAAUGUGUGGUGUAGCGGUGAAAGGCAUAGAUAUCACGCAGAACCCCGAUUGCGAAGGCAGCAUGCCAGGUCAUGACUGACGCUGAUGCACGAAAGCGUGGGUAUCAAACAGGAUUAGAUACCCUUGUAGUC
RNAcentral lists this ribosomal RNA (460 nucleotides) under uncultured bacterium. RNAcentral's name for it is "partial 16S ribosomal RNA". It matches the Rfam family "Bacterial small subunit ribosomal RNA", at positions 338 to 795 of the family's 1533-position model. The record is from RNAcentral.